Small nuclear RNA from Suncus etruscus (white-toothed pygmy shrew), 108 nucleotides. NCBI's taxonomy places the organism in Eukaryota, Metazoa, Chordata, Mammalia, Eulipotyphla, Soricidae. The record is from RefSeq and is a predicted model, not a curated record.
GUGGUCGCUUCAGCAGCACAUAUACUAAAAUCCGAACAGUAUAGAGAAGAUUAGCAUGUCCUGUCCCACAAGGAUGACAUGCAAAUUCAUGAAAUGUUCCAUAUUUUU